CCUUAGUCUAAGAAGAAGUUGUGCCGUGGCCACAAUGGUUUGGACUCCACUCAUCUUCAUGGUUCUGUCUUACUGGACAGGUUCCUUUUCUCAGUCUGUAUUGACACAGCCACCCUCCAUUUCUCAGUCUCUUAGAUCAACAGCCACACUCACCUGUACCCUAAAGAGUGGCAUUAGUGUUGGUGGUAAAAACAUUUACUGGUACCAGCAGAUGGAGGGGAGCUCUCCCAGGCUUUUCCUGUACUACUACUCAGAUUCUGACAAGAAACUGGGGCCUGGAGUCACCAAUAGAGUCUCUGGAUCCAAAGAUACCUCCAAGAAUGCUGCAAAUUUACACAUCUCUGAGCUACAGGCAGAGGAUGAGGCUGUGUAUUAUUGCUCCAUCUGGGAAAGUGAUGUUUGGGUGUUCGGCGGAGGCACCAAAUUGACCGUCCUAGGUCAGCCCACAUCUCACCCUUCAGUCACCUUGUUUCCACCUUCUCCUGAGGAGCUCAAGACCAGCAAGGCCACACUGGUGUGUAUGAUCAGUGACUUUUACCCUGGUGAUUUGGCAGUGACCUGGAAAGCAGAUGGUACAACUAUCACCCAGGGUGUGGAGACAAGUAAGCCUUCCAAACAGGGCAACAAGUACUUGGCUACCAGCUUCUUGACUUUGACAGAAGAUGCAUGGAAAUCUAAAAACGAAGUCAUCUGUGAGGUCACUCAUGAAAGUACAAAAGUGGAGAAGAGUUUGUCCCCUGCAAUGUGUUCCUAAGCCUUCCAAUAUUCAUCUUACCCAUAGAAACUGGGAUUAGAAUAAUGAACAAAUACUGCUCUUGCCUAUCAUAGCCCUUCUCCCUGCUCCUGAAAUGCAAAAUAAAAUAUCUGUUCUCAACCUGUAA
This is a non-coding RNA of Microtus oregoni (creeping vole), 881 nucleotides long. The record is from the annotation of a RefSeq genome assembly. NCBI's taxonomy places the organism in Eukaryota, Metazoa, Chordata, Mammalia, Rodentia, Cricetidae.